GUGUGCGAUCAUACCAGUACUAAUGCACCGGAUACCAUUAGAACUCCGAAGUUAAACGUGCUUGGGCGAGAGUAGUACUAAGAUGGGUGACCUCUUGGGAAGUCCUCGUGUUGCACCCC
RNAcentral lists this ribosomal RNA (119 nucleotides) under Ricinus communis (castor bean). The record is from RNAcentral. Lineage: Eukaryota; Viridiplantae; Streptophyta; Magnoliopsida; Malpighiales; Euphorbiaceae.